This 468-nucleotide ribosomal RNA is filed under the name uncultured bacterium. RNAcentral's name for it is "partial 16S ribosomal RNA". It matches the Rfam family "Bacterial small subunit ribosomal RNA", at positions 28 to 507 of the family's 1533-position model. The record is from RNAcentral.
GACGAACGCUGGCGGCGUGCUUAACACAUGCAAGUCGAACGGAAAGGCCCUGCUUUUGUGGGGUGCUCGAGUGGCGAACGGGUGAGUAACACGUGAGUAACCUGCCCUUGACUUUGGGAUAACUUCAGGAAACUGGGGCUAAUACCGGAUAGGAGCUCCUGCUGCAUGGUGGGGGUUGGAAAGUUUCGGCGGUUGGGGAUGGACUCGCGGCUUAUCAGCUUGUUGGUGGGGUAGUGGCUUACCAAGGCUUUGACGGGUAGCCGGCCUGAGAGGGUGACCGGCCACAUGGGGACUGAGAUACGGCCCAGACUCGUAGGGGAGGCAGCAGUGGGGAAUAGUGCACAAUGGGCGGAAGCCUGAUGCAGCAACGCCGCGUGCGGGAUGACGGCCUUCGGGUUGUAAACCGCUUUCGCCUGUGACGAAGCGUGAGUGACGGUAAUGGGUAAAGAAGCACCGGCUAACUACGUG